AGACGCAGUGGGGCCUGUAGCUCAGAGGAUUAGAGCACGUGGCUACGAACCACGGUGUCGGGGGUUCGAAUCCCUCCUCACCCAC
This 85-nucleotide transfer RNA is filed under the name Helianthus annuus (common sunflower). Its description in RNAcentral is "tRNA-Arg". The stretch from base 11 to 84 matches the Rfam family "tRNA". Rfam says of the family: Transfer RNA (tRNA) molecules are approximately 80 nucleotides in length. Their secondary structure includes four short double-helical elements and three loops (D, anti-codon, and T loops). Lineage: Eukaryota; Viridiplantae; Streptophyta; Magnoliopsida; Asterales; Asteraceae. The record is from RNAcentral.